CAAAACAAGUUCCUUUACGAGGACGUUUAGAGGCACCGUACCUGCGUUCGGCGUUUAGCUCCGCCCAACACAAUUGUAAUUGGUUUAAAAGAAAUGCCAACAAAUCAGACCAAUGUUUUUAUCCCAUCCCGGAAUACUGUCUGGACUAGCUAGACCCUCUUCCACAGCACCACGGGAGAGGAAGG
Long non-coding RNA from Etheostoma spectabile (orangethroat darter), 185 nucleotides. RefSeq lists it as uncharacterized. NCBI's taxonomy places the organism in Eukaryota, Metazoa, Chordata, Actinopteri, Perciformes, Percidae. The record is from RefSeq and is a predicted model, not a curated record. The transcript is spliced from 3 exons.